RNAcentral lists this unclassified non-coding RNA (295 nucleotides) under uncultured Basidiomycota. RNAcentral's name for it is "sequence contains ITS2". The stretch from base 1 to 52 matches the Rfam family "5.8S ribosomal RNA", at positions 103 to 154 of the family's 154-position model. The record is from RNAcentral. Lineage: Eukaryota; Fungi; Basidiomycota.
AACGCAUCUUGCGCUCCUUGGUAUUCCGAGGAGCAUGCCUGUUUGAGUGUCAUUAAAUUCUCAACUCCCUUUGAUUUCUUCAAGGGUGAGCUUGGAUUGUGGAGGCUUUGCUGGCUGUAAAGUCAGCUCCUCUGAAAUGCAUUGGCAAAGGUUGUGUGCAUGAAAUAUGGCCUUUCGGUGUGAUAAUGAUCACUGUGGGCUGGUUGCUUUAACACCUAUGUCCAACUUUUUCCAGCUGGAAAAAAAUGCUUGACAACUUGACCUCAAAUCAGGUAGGACUACCCGCUGAACUUAA